This 612-nucleotide ribosomal RNA is filed under the name Triticum aestivum (bread wheat). RNAcentral's name for it is "partial small subunit ribosomal RNA". Lineage: Eukaryota; Viridiplantae; Streptophyta; Magnoliopsida; Poales; Poaceae. The record is from RNAcentral.
AUGACAAAACUAAUGGAUCUUGAGCUCGAAGAAGUAAAUGUUCAGCUCCCUCCCAUGGAUGACGUAUUAUCUUCAUGUCUUAGGCUGCUACAGACAAAGGAAACAUUAGCUUUUCCUGUCCGGGAUAUGCUUGUGACUAUCAGCUCACAGAAUGACGGCCAAAACCGUGUGAAGGUGCUUACAUAUUUGAUUGAUCAUCUGAAGAAAUGUCUUGUGGCAUCUGAUCCUUUAAAGAACACUGCAUUAUCUGCCUUUUUCCAUGUUCUUGCUUUGAUACUCCAUGGAGAUACCACUGCUCGUGAAAUUGCCUCAAAGGCUGGUCUUGUCAAGGUUGUUUUGAGUCUGCUGUGCAGCUGGGAGUUUGAACCAAGGGUCAAACAACCAAGGUUCCCAAUUGGGUUACUUACUGUUUCCUUUUUUCUUGACAGAAUGCUCCAGUUGGAACCCAAGUUGCCAGAUGUUACUGAGCUUGAUGUUCUCAAAAAGGAUAAUUCACCUACACAAACAUCUGUUGUGAUUGAUGACAGCAAGAAGAAGGAUUCAGAAUCUUCCUCAAGUGUAGGGGUUAUUGGACCUGGAGGACCAGGAGCAACUUCUGAGGAUCUGCUGUAA